RNA transcript from Chanos chanos (milkfish), 1408 nucleotides. It is a transcript of the gene named transforming growth factor, beta 1a, with no coding region annotated. The transcript is spliced from 8 exons. Lineage: Eukaryota; Metazoa; Chordata; Actinopteri; Gonorynchiformes; Chanidae. The record is from RefSeq and is a predicted model, not a curated record.
AUGAAGCUGGCCUUUCUAACGUUGGUGACUCUAUACCUGGUCGGGAGGGUAGGUGGCUUGUCUACCUGUAAGACUCUAGACUUGGAGAUGGUUAAGAAGAAGAGGAUUGAAGCCAUCAGAGGACAGAUCCUUAGUAAACUCCGUAUGGCCAAGGAGCCAGAAUCAGAACCAGAGGAAGAAGGAGAGAAGAUCCCAGAAACUUUGCUCUCCCUGUACAACAGCACGGUGGAGCUGAACGAGGAGCAGCAGCAGAGCCGGGACCAGCAUGCAUCUCUCCAGCAGGAUGAUGAGGAGUACUUCGCCAAGGUGGUGCACAAGUUCAGCAUGACACAUAAAACCAAAGAAACAAAGAACAGCACAGAGUACCAGAUAUUCUUUAAUAUGACUGAAAUCCGGAGCAGCGUGAUUGACUAUCGGCUGCUGUCCAGCGCGGAGCUUCGUUUCUACGUUAUGUCCGUCAGCGUGUCACCGCAGGACUCGGAGCAGAGGCUGGAACUGUACAAAGUCACGGGAGAUCAGACCCGCUACCUGGACUUUCAUUUCGUCUCCAAUCAGAACGCCAAACGCUGGUUCUCCUUUGAUGUCACACAGACUGUGAAAGAAUGGAUACAGGGCACGGAGGAUGAACAGGCCUUCCAGCUGAAAUUUUACUGUGGCUGCGGUCAAAUCAUGGAGAAUUUCAACUUCAGAAUUUCAGGGUUGUUGGACAGAGGAGAUCAGGGUACACUGUCUAAAAUUACCCAGAGGCCACACAUUCUUGCCAUGUCUCUACCUUCAGAUGGCAUCAGCUCUGCCAGCUCGAGGAGAAAACGGCAAGCUGACCCCACCGCUGAUGAAACCUGCACAGAGAAAACUGAAACCUGCUGCAUGAGGAAACUUUAUAUCGACUUCCGGAAAGAUCUGGGCUGGAAAUGGAUUCAUAAACCGAAAGGUUAUUAUGCCAACUACUGCAUGGGUUCCUGUACCUACAUUUGGAAUGCGGAAAAUAAAUAUUCUCAGAUCCUAGCACUAUACAAACACCACAACCCUGGUGCAUCUGCCCAGCCCUGCUGUGUGCCGCAACUCUUUGAUCCGCUUCCAAUCAUUUAUUACGUGGGAAGACAACACAAGGUGGAGCAGCUGUCCAACAUGAUCGUGAAGAGCUGCAAAUGUAGCUAAGAACACAGUGUGUCAUCUCUUUCAACUGUCCGUGUUGAAGUCUCUCUCCAGUGGAAAAGACAAAACCUCCACUGUACUGUAGAUGCAGCUGCGUUAUGGCGUAUUGGACAUCCGCACGAUAAAGUUCCUAAGGUGCUGAAUGUAGGAAGAUAUCUGGAGCUUAAAAAAGGAAAACCAAGCUUCUGUUUGGUUGGAAUGAAAUUUUGAUUUAUUUCACGUCUGAGGACCUGGAUCUUUGCACUAAAUCAAA